AUAGGUGAAAUUAUUAUUAUUAUGAAAGUUUGAGUAUUUUAAGGAAGCUAAUAAGCUUUAAAGAUAAACUAGGAUUAGAUACCCUAUUAUAUUGAAGUUUAAUAAAUAAAUAUUAAAUUAUUAAUAGGUAUAGCUUAAAAUUUAAAGAAUUUGGCGGUAAUUUAGUCUUGUCAGAGGAACCUGUUUAAAUUAAUCGAUACGCCUCGUAAUAUCUUGCUUGGUUUGUAUACCAUCAUUAUUAGAUGAUUUCUAAAGAAUAAAUCAUUAAAAUUAGAUUAUUAAAAAAAUUAGAUCAAGGUGCAGCUUAUAAAUAAGUUUAAAUGGGUUACAAUAAAUUUUAUUUAAAUGGAAAGGAUUAGUAAUUAGGAAGGUGGAUUUGAUAGUAUACAAGUUUAAUAAGCUUGUAAGAUAAAAGCUCUAAAUUAUGUACAUAUCGCCCGUCGCUUUC
Molecule: ribosomal RNA, 448 nt
Filed under: Nanhaipotamon hongkongense
Lineage: Eukaryota; Metazoa; Arthropoda; Malacostraca; Decapoda; Potamidae
Description: partial 12S small subunit ribosomal RNA
Source: RNAcentral